CUAGUGCCUUGUCUCGAAACAGAGAAGGUUCUUCUGUUUCCAAUGAUCUCGAAAAUGUUGAAGAUUUAGUCUCAAUGGACGAAAGUGACUCUAGUUUUACUGAGAGUGACUACAGUGGUGGAAGUUCAACCGGUGAAAGUGAUAGUGACGGUGAAGAAGAAGAAGAAGAAGAGGACGAAGAUGAAUCCGGUGACGACGGAGAACGCAGUAGGGAAAUUGUGACUCGUUCAGCAAGAACUCGUUCACGUCGUAAAAAAUAUCCUGAAUCAUGGAAAGAUGCAUGUCUAAAAUUGAUAAAUGAGUUAUGGGAAAAUGAAGAUUCUGAACCAUUCCGUUUUCCUGUAGAUUUUGAACAGUAUCCAGAUUAUUGUCGUUAUGUAGAUACACCUAUGGACCUAUCAACCAUCAAAGAAGAAUUGGAAAACUA
RNAcentral lists this long non-coding RNA (427 nucleotides) under Lupinus mutabilis. RNAcentral's name for it is "partial ncRNA". Lineage: Eukaryota; Viridiplantae; Streptophyta; Magnoliopsida; Fabales; Fabaceae. The record is from RNAcentral.